GACGAACGCUGGCGGCGUGCCUAAUACAUGCAAGUAGAACGCUGAAGGAGGAGCUUGCUUCUCUGGAUGAGUUGCGAACGGGUGAGUAACGCGUAGGUAACCUGCCUGGUAGCGGGGGAUAACUAUUGGAAACGAUAGCUAAUACCGCAUAAGAGUAGAUGUUGCAUGACAUUUGCUUAAAAGGUGCAAUUGCAUCACUACCAGAUGGACCUGCGUUGUAUUAGCUAGUUGGUGAGGUAACGGCUCACCAAGGCAACGAUACAUAGCCGACCUGAGAGGGUGAUCGGCCACACUGGGACUGAGACACGGCCCAGACUCCUACGGGAGGCAGCAGUAGGGAAUCUUCGGCAAUGGACGGAAGUCUGACCGAGCAACGCCGCGUGAGUGAAGAAGGUUUUCGGAUCGUAAAGCUCUGUUGUAAGAGAAGAACGAGUGUGAGAGUGGAAAGUUCACACUGUG
Molecule: ribosomal RNA, 459 nt
Filed under: Streptococcus mitis
Lineage: Bacteria; Bacillati; Bacillota; Bacilli; Lactobacillales; Streptococcaceae
Description: bacterial SSU rRNA
Rfam family: Bacterial small subunit ribosomal RNA
Source: RNAcentral